RNAcentral lists this ribosomal RNA (239 nucleotides) under uncultured bacterium. RNAcentral's name for it is "partial 16S ribosomal RNA". It matches the Rfam family "Bacterial small subunit ribosomal RNA", at positions 118 to 353 of the family's 1533-position model. The record is from RNAcentral.
UGGGUAACCUGCCUUAUAGUGGGGGAUAGCCUUUCGAAAGGAAGAUUAAUACCGCAUAAGAUUGUAGUAUCGCAUGAUAUAGCAAUUAAAGGAGCAAUUCGCUAUAAGAUGGACCCGCGUCGCAUUAGCUAGUUGGUGAGGUAAUGGCUCACCAAGGCGACGAUGCGUAGCCGACCUGAGAGGGUGAACGGCCACAUUGGGACUGAGACACGGCCCAGACUCCUACGGGAGGCAGCAUG